This is a long non-coding RNA of Bombus pascuorum, 2315 nucleotides long. RefSeq lists it as uncharacterized. The transcript is spliced from 2 exons. The record is from RefSeq and is a predicted model, not a curated record. NCBI's taxonomy places the organism in Eukaryota, Metazoa, Arthropoda, Insecta, Hymenoptera, Apidae.
AAAAAAAAACGAGAAUUCCUGCAUUACCAGGGAGUGAUUCGAUCAAUCGAAAGUGCAGGCGAGAAAAACAGCUGGUCCCAGGGUCACUGGGUUCGUCCGUUGUGAAUGGACCCGUACUCGACGCAAAGAACUAGUGGUGGGGGUUCAAUCAUCGCAAUGAAUUACAACGAGCCAGUCACCGAGAGUGACUCACUACGCUGCUCUAGCCGCUGCAGCUCGAUAAAAGUCUUUUUCUUUGCCCUCCUCGUGCCGGAGGAAUUCGAGAGAGCCCCGGGGAGCAGAAAGAGAGGCGCUCAAGGAACGCCAACAGAAGCGGCCGCUUAUGAAUCAUCUGUGUACGCGGGCAAAAUGCUUCGGCGAGGGGACACACAGUACAGUCGGAGAACAAGAGGACUUUCGUUCGUCGCGACUGCCAACCUAACGGGAUUUCUAGUGCUCUUAAUGGCUCCCUGCUACUAACUCUUUGUUCCUGGGGUUGUAUAACUGAAUUUCGAGAUGGAAAUGGGAAAUUAGUACUAAUUGAGGAUUUUCGCUUUCGGAAGAAGUCUAUAGGCAGAGUGGAAACAUUGGUUAUUGGUUAGGCAACAAUGAUUCCCCCACUAGGAAUGUUACCAGUAAUGCCCACUCUUGGCAAUCUACUACACGUGUCUUUCCAAACCUAAUCACGAAUUAAAAUUCUAUGUUAUUAAAUCCAAACCUAACCUACACUCUUUCCAAAUCGAACCUAACAUUAAAAUUCCAUACUAAAUUCAAACCUCCUUUUUAUUUUAGCCACCACCGACUUGGAUUUCCCCGAUCUGGGUACAGAGCAUUUUUCGGCACCGACUAAAUCCAAACCUAACCCGAAGAACCUAAAAUUAAGAUCUUAUUCUGUUGAAGCCAAACCUAGCCUAAAAUUAGAAUUCUAGUCUACCAAACGCAAAUCUAACCUAAAACUAAAAUCCUAGUCCACUGAAGCGAAACCUAACCUAGAACUGAAAUUAUGAUUCCACUCUCGUCUCUUAACCUUCAGCUAGGUUAUUAUAAAACAUUCUAGAUCUACUUAAAAAAACACUCCAUACCCCAUGAAAUUCGCAAUUCUGACAUAACACCGAACCUACGAUACAUAUGUAUACACCUAACCUUCAAAGAGUCAACCUAACCUCGCAUCAGUGACCAAUUUCUAUGUAUCAGGGCUAGGAGACGUUCGUUUCGCGGCGCAUCGCCAGAAUUCAUAUCGGCGGGAGAACCGUGAAAAAUCGGAAUCCACGUGAGCCAGCUCCUUAAGUAUCUCUGGGUAUCUUUUUUUAUUUUUUCGAAGCGGUCGCUCUCUCGAGCCGCGCAUACCGUGCCAAUUAUUCUCUGCACGGAAGUUCCACGGCCUGGCGUGAGAGAUUGAUGCGAGAGUCGAUGCACUCGGCGCUUAUGUUUUAUUCAUACCUUUCACCGGGUUCGAUAAGAAAAUUAUAUUUAAAGCCGAACGCGGCCGAGUAAUGUCGCGGGAAAGGAGAAAAUCAAUCCGAUCCUCGUCUUUCUCGAAAGUCGUGCCUCUUUUCUAUUUUAUUUGGGAUCGAAGCUAUGAUCUGCGUUUGGAACUUGGGUUUCUAUAAUUUUGUUACUUUGAUGCUACAUGCAGAGCAAAUUACGCAAUUAUAUCUAUGACGGAUGGGACACAGUUGAGAAUAUUUUAUUUAAAUUACUAUUAUUCAUAAAUGUGUAUAUAAAUACGAACAUCAAACUUGCUUUGGUCCACUGUAUGUAGUAUAUUGUACAGUGGCAUAUUUAAUGUAAUAUAAUUAUGUUAAAUUAAUUGGAAUUGAAUUAAUACGAGUUAAGUCACGUUCACAUAAAUUAGGUCUACUAUAGUCAAGCUAAAUUGAGUCGAAUAAAUUAAAUAGACGUGAUCCGUUAAAUGCAUGAUAAUUUUCUAAUUGAAAUUCCCCUGCCUUCUUUCUCUAAACAUUUUCAAAUUCACAGAUAGAAACUUUGCUCCAUAUUAUAGUUAGCGUAGGACUUUCUCAUCGUGAAACGGUCGGAUGAUCGGCGCUCGUGAGAACACACGUAAGACGCGUCCUAUGCAACCUAUGCAAUGUUCAACGAAGUAAUUAGGUGAUUGAACAAAAGACUCGCUGGUUAUUACGUCUAUGAAAGGCUUCUACGAAUUGCUCUCGAAAGCACGUUCCAUUAACCUAAGGCACAGUGCACGGAAUCACUCGAUGGAUCCACGGGAAAUAGCGUCAAGUAUUAGCAUGCUUCAGAAGAUGAAAAUAUAUUUUUCAACAUAUGAUAUCAAAGCUUGUAAAUAAUUUAAAUAUUGCAUAUCGAAAUGAAACAUU